Molecule: long non-coding RNA, 228 nt
Filed under: Phoenix dactylifera (date palm)
Lineage: Eukaryota; Viridiplantae; Streptophyta; Magnoliopsida; Arecales; Arecaceae
Description: long non-coding RNA (PDAC_LNC012400)
Source: RNAcentral
UUCAUAAGAGGUAAUCGAAUAAUUGGCCAGGUAAGCAGGUGGGAGGCUCCCCUUACUCAGAGAGUAAGGUCCUAAUUAAGUAACCACCUUUCAUGCUUUCCUAGACACCAAUUAGAUUAAUUAAUCUAAUAUGACUUGCUCAUGUCGGUUCACUCUCGACUUGAUUGAGGAGGUUUUAGUUUAGAUCUCAAUUGGGUUUGCUACAUCACAUGUAAACCUAUCUACCCG